This 335-nucleotide long non-coding RNA is filed under the name Mus spicilegus (steppe mouse). RNAcentral describes it as "lncRNA (ENSMSIG00000023122.1)". Lineage: Eukaryota; Metazoa; Chordata; Mammalia; Rodentia; Muridae. The record is from RNAcentral.
UCUUUUGAGUGAUGAAAGGGUCUGUGAAAAAAAGUUCUCAUAAAAUGUCUUUUAUUUGUUUCUGUCUCCAGGAUACAGUCUUAAUGUCUAUAUUAUGUGGCCUUGAAGAUAAUAUUCUUGUUAACAAUUUUAUAGAAUAUUAUCUCGUAAGUGUUGAAGAAAUGCAAGUGUCAAACAUUCAGCCAAAUUGGAUUCCAAGUGUCCUGUGAUGGAACUCACCUUAGUGGAGUCUACAUUAUGCAUCUUCAUGCCCUGUAUCCCAGCACUUGCAACCUACUUAUGUUUGAUGGUCAACAAUAGAGUAAAUAAAUAUGCAUACAUAUAAAUAUAUAUCA